RNAcentral lists this ribosomal RNA (466 nucleotides) under uncultured bacterium. Its description in RNAcentral is "bacterial SSU rRNA". It matches the Rfam family "Bacterial small subunit ribosomal RNA", at positions 29 to 506 of the family's 1533-position model. The record is from RNAcentral.
AUGAACGCUGGCGGCGUGCCUAAUACAUGCAAGUCGAGCGCCCCUUUAUGAGUAGAGAAUUCGCUAAGAAUUAUCUGUUCCUAUGGGGAGCGGCGGACGGCUGAGUAACGCGUGGGAACGUGCCCCAAAGUGAGGGAUAACGCACCGAAAGGUGUGCUAAUACCGCAUAUGAUCUUCGGAUUAAAGCUUUAUGCGCUUUGGGAGCGGCCUGCGUCCUAUUAGAUAGUUGGUGAGGUAAAGGCUCACCAAGUCAACGAUGGGUAGCUGGUCUGAGAGGAUGACCAGCCAGACUGGAACUGAGACACGGUCCAGACUCCUACGGGAGGCAGCAGUAAGGAAUCUUCCACAAUGGGCGAAAGCCUGAUGGAGCAACGCCGCGUGCAGGAUGAAGGCCCUCGGGUCGUAAACUGCUUUUAUGAGUGAAGAAUAUGACGGUAACUCAUGAAUAAGGGUCGGCUAACUACGU